Long non-coding RNA from Xiphophorus couchianus (Monterrey platyfish), 311 nucleotides. RefSeq lists it as uncharacterized. The record is from RefSeq and is a predicted model, not a curated record. Lineage: Eukaryota; Metazoa; Chordata; Actinopteri; Cyprinodontiformes; Poeciliidae. The transcript has 2 exons.
GCAGAGGGAGCCUCUCCUGUUUCCUGCAGGGAUCUAAUCAGAUGGAAGAAUCUGUGUUUGCAGCACUCUACCUCGACUCCAACAGAUGUGCAGGAAGUUCACACCAGAUCUUGCAGCAGAGUUACUGCCAAAACCAGCAAAAGAGAGAGGUGAUGAGGGAGUGAGAGAAUAGAUGAGCAGUCACAGCUCUGCGCAUGCUGCCGGUAAUUAAACAAAGACGAGACGGACUGAGGUCACACCUGCACAGCAAGCCUGUCAUGUAUCUUCUAUCAUUGCUGAUGCAGUGAUAAUUAAAACAGACGUGGAAAUCA